This 231-nucleotide long non-coding RNA is filed under the name Manihot esculenta (cassava). Its description in RNAcentral is "long non-coding RNA (MESC_LNC006622)". The record is from RNAcentral. Lineage: Eukaryota; Viridiplantae; Streptophyta; Magnoliopsida; Malpighiales; Euphorbiaceae.
UUUGACUUAAAAUUUGAAUGUAUGAUAAUCUGUGAAUACUCAAUAAUAAUAAGGAUAUUUCAUCUCAAUGCAUACUUCAUUUAUACUUAGAUUAUUUUUUGAAUACAUUGCUUUCUUCGUUUUGCCAAGCUGCUCAGACCUUUGGGACUUAUGUUGUAAUUACUUAACUCAUCUUCACUUUCUAACUUGCGAGUUUCUUCUAACUCAACAUUAACAUAAAAAGUCUUAAAU